CCUUACGGCUCAGUAACACGUGGAUAACCUGCCCUUGGGUCCGGCAUAACCCCGGGAAACUGGGGAUAAUUCCGGAUAACGCACAUAUGCUGGAAUGCUUUAUGCGUCAAAUGGAUUCGUCUGCCCAAGGAUGGGUCUGCGGCCUAUCAGGUAGUAGUGGGUGUAAUGUACCUACUAGCCAACAACGGGUACGGGUUGUGAGAGCAAGAGCCCGGAGAUGGAUUCUGAGACAUGAAUCCAGGCCCUACGGGGCGCAGCAGGCGCGAAAACUUUACAAUGCGGGAAACCGUGAUAAGGGGACACCGAGUGCCAGCAUCAUAUGCUGGCUGUCCGGGUGUGUAAAAUACACCUGUUAGCAAGGGCCGGGCAAGACCGGUGCCAGCCGCCGCGGUAACACCGGCGGCCCGAGUGGUGAUCGUGAUUAUUGGGUCUAAAGGGUCCGUAGCCGGUUUGGUCAGUCCUCCGGGAAAUCUGAUAGCUCAACUAUUAGGCUUUCGGGGGAUACUGCCAGGCUUGGAACCGGGAGAGGUAAGAGGUACUACAGGGGUAGGAGUGAAAUCUUGUAAUCCCUGUGGGACCACCUGUGGCGAAGGCGUCUUACCAAAACGGGUUCGACGGUGAGGGACGAAAGCUGGGGGCACGAACCGGAUUAGAUACCCGGGUAGUCCCAGCCGUAAACGAUGCUCGCUAGGUGUCAGGCAUGGCGCGACCGUGUCUGGUGCCGCAGGGAAGCCGUGAAGCGAGCCACCUGGGAAGUACGGCCGCAAGGCUGAAACUUAAAGGAAUUGGCGGGGGAGCAC
This 800-nucleotide ribosomal RNA is filed under the name uncultured archaeon. RNAcentral describes it as "bacterial SSU rRNA". It matches the Rfam family "Archaeal small subunit ribosomal RNA", at positions 81 to 879 of the family's 1478-position model. The record is from RNAcentral.